This 72-nucleotide transfer RNA is filed under the name Bos taurus (domestic cattle). It matches the Rfam family "tRNA". From Rfam's summary of the family: Transfer RNA (tRNA) molecules are approximately 80 nucleotides in length. Their secondary structure includes four short double-helical elements and three loops (D, anti-codon, and T loops). Lineage: Eukaryota; Metazoa; Chordata; Mammalia; Artiodactyla; Bovidae. The record is from Rfam by way of RNAcentral. RNAcentral also lists the same sequence under 2 other names.
UCCCUGAUGGCUCAGAUGGUAAAGAAUCUGCCUGCAAUGCAGGAGGCCUAGGUCCGACCCCUGGGUUGGGAA